AACAUAGGCAUUCCAAAUCCCUAGAAAAUGAGAAACACAAUUAUUAACUUCAUACAAAAAACAAGGCCCAGAAACCAUAAAUAAAAAGCAGUAAUAAUUUAACAUUUACUGAAUCGUCUUCUAUGAUAGCUGCAGAAUCGAAGAAAUCUGGCCUCAGCUCAGCUCUCUCUCGCCGAUUUCUUGAUGGGGGCUGGAAAGAGAAGCCAAAUUAUUUCAUUUUAUUCCUGAGAUACAUUAAGACAACGAACUGUGAUAAUAAGCAGCUGGUAUUUCUGAUGGUACCAUAAAUGUACAGAACGGUUAAAGGUCAAUUUUGGGAAAAAAAAUAAAUAAAUCUGGUUUUACAUGGAGCAUACAUUUAAAAAAAACCUGGUUUUUAAUUAUCCCUUAUACAAGAAAAAAGACUUGCAAAUUAUGAAUCAAUCGAAUAUGUAAAUGCCUAUAAAUUUUUGGGCCUAUAAACAUAGAACAUUCCUCCAAUCAUAACAUAACUAUAAAAUGAUCAAAUGCCAGGUGACAAAACCACUAAAUUCCCCAAGGCAGGUAGAUGAAAGGUAGGUUACAGAUUGGAGUGACAUGAUCUCAUGGAAAAAAACAUAGAAAGCAGAAUGUUAUGGGCCCCUCAAAAUGUGACUUAUUUGGAGAUAGGGCUUUAAAGAGUUAGGGAAAAAGGUGGUUAUGGGUUCUAAUCCAAUACGAUUUGUGUCCUUAGAAGAAGACAGAAAAGACUGUGUAAAGACAAAGGAAGAUGGCUAUCCACAAGUAAUACAGAGAGGUCUCAGAAUGAAACCAACCCUCCUGAUACCCUGAUCUCAGAUUUCUAGCCUCCAGAACGAUCAAUAACCAUGGUGUCUUCAAAUUCUUCAUUCAUAUCUUCUAAUUGGCUCCGGGAUGACAUCAUCACGUCUUCAAAGAUGGGCUCAGCAUCUUCCUCCAUUAAGCCCCGACUGAUAAAGAAAAAGCAUAGUCGGAAAGCUGUUCUGAAUCACGGACUUCGGAGGCCCUGGCACUAGAAAACAUUUUAAUUGCUACUAUGGAAAAAGGUAAGAUCUUUAUUUUCUCUUAGCAAAAGGGCAACUAAUUCUACCACUUCUCCAAAUUUAUCUAACAUCUUAAUUCUUAAUCCAAAACCGUUAAAAAUGUUAAGCUU
Molecule: long non-coding RNA, 1150 nt
Organism: Myotis myotis
Lineage: Eukaryota; Metazoa; Chordata; Mammalia; Chiroptera; Vespertilionidae
Exons: 3
Source: RefSeq, a predicted model, not a curated record